GGAAGUAAAAGCGUAACAAGGUUUCCGUAGGUGAACCUGCGGAAGGAUCAUUAAAAAAUCUUUUGAGCCGCAAGGCUCUGCUAUUUUGUGAAACGUCGUGUCAUAUAAGAAGCGCUGUGUGUUGUGCGCGAGGAGUUACCGAGAGGCGACCCCGUGCGUGCGCGCAGUCUUUUUUAUGUCAUCAUUAUAUAUUGUUAAAACGUGUGUACAUAUGAGAAUAGUCGCGGAAAUAACGUUGUAAAUAAUGUAUAAACAACUUUCAACAGUGGAUCUCUCGGCUCUU
This 283-nucleotide unclassified non-coding RNA is filed under the name plant metagenome. RNAcentral describes it as "partial contains small subunit ribosomal RNA and internal transcribed spacer 1". The stretch from base 1 to 53 matches the Rfam family "Eukaryotic small subunit ribosomal RNA", at positions 1778 to 1831 of the family's 1831-position model. The record is from RNAcentral.